RNAcentral lists this ribosomal RNA (442 nucleotides) under uncultured bacterium. Its description in RNAcentral is "partial 16S ribosomal RNA". It matches the Rfam family "Bacterial small subunit ribosomal RNA", at positions 338 to 795 of the family's 1533-position model. The record is from RNAcentral.
CCUACGGGAGGCAGCAGUGAGGAAUAUUGGUCAAUGGACGCAAGCCUGACCCAGCAACGCCGCGUGAAGGAAGAAGGCUUUCGGGUUGUAAACUUCUUUUAAGGGGGAAGAGCAGAAGACGGUACCCCUUGAAUAAGCCACGGCUAACUACGUGCCAGCAGCCGCGGUAAUACGUAGGUGGCAAGCGUUGUCCGGAUUUACUGGGUGUAAAGGGCGUGCAGCCGGAGAGACAAGUCAGAUGUGAAAUCCACGGGCUCAACCCGUGAACUGCAUUUGAAACUGUUUCCCUUGAGUGUCGGAGAGGUAAUCGGAAUUCCUUGUGUAGCGGUGAAAUGCGUAGAUAUAAGGAAGAACACCAGUGGCGAAGGCGGAUUACUGGACGAUAACUGACGGUGAGGCGCGAAAGCGUGGGGAGCAAACAGGAUUAGAUACCCUUGUAGUC